AAAUACAUUAGCUGGCGGAGAUAAGGGAGGGCAGGGGAGUUUAAUUGCCGCUAAAAUAGAUACAGUAGGUAACCAAAAUAGAAGGCACAAAACCAGCCUGCGGUCUCGUUUUCUGCUGUGGUAGAGGGCGUCCGUGAUCACGUGACCUGCAGCCACUUGGAAAGCUUCCAAAGCUGAUGAUGGUCUGGAAGAUGUAGGAAACGGACCAAUAUUGCGCCAGAUCUACACUCUAGAAGGGGCUUUGGUGACAUUCUCAUUUAGACCAUGAAGACCAGUGCAGACCUCAGGUAAAAAAUUCAGGAUUGAACGGCUUAAUGCCUGAAGGAAUGGCAAAGACACCAGGGCUAACCAGGAGCAGAGGCUUCUCAUCCUGCACAACUGGUUCUGAUCACAGCUCCCAAUACUUGGUAAGUUAUUAGGGUGGGCAGGGAAGGAGACGGGGGACAACAGAUAGACAGACAGGUAGUGGGUGGCCUUAAUUGAACACUGAGGGUAAAAAGACAUUCAGUUUGGCUGAGGGCGGUGGCUCCAUAAUCUAUGUAACACCUACAAUCCUAACGCUUGAUAGGGCAAAGCAAGAAGACUGCCCUAUGUUGGAGGUAAGUUUGGAGAACACAAUGAGUUCCAGGCUAUCCUGAGCUACUGGAUGUUUUAAAGAGCAAGUAAACAAAAGUAUAUAAUAAUUUAUAAGAUCUUUUCACAUGUAGAUUAACAGUGCAAAUGACAAUUGUUGAGGAUGACUUCUGAAAACAUACACUGAUGUCACAGUUAGACAAACCUAUGGGCUCUUUUUCUAUGACAACAGAUGUAAUGAAGCUGAAACUCUGACAUGUUACAUGGCUAAGGGACAACUUAGAGCAGCACUGAUGCGCUGCACCCAGCACAAGGACAGCUGCGACACACUUGUCAAGCUGCCUGCGUGGUCCUAAAGAAACAACAUCGUCCUUAGAGGAAGCUGCCCCUACAGCAAAGAUUCCCACAUAAUUCACUUUUCCACAGAGACCUUUUGGAAAUGAUCUCACUUUUGCUUGGUGUGCAUGAUGUAUGUAUGUGUCUAUACGUGUUUGCGUGUGUAUGCACACAUGUGGAGGCCAGAGGUCAACAUCAGCAUCCUUUUCAACUGUUUUCUAACUUAUACUCUGAAAGAGGUCUUUAUUGACUCCGGAGCUCUCACAGACUGACUGGCUGGGCUGACAGCGAGCACGAGGCAUCCCCCUGCCUCUACCUCCCAGCACAGGGACGACAGAGCAUCAGUACCAGGCCCAGCACUUUACUUCGGCACUUGGACCCUCACCCAGGUCGGAAUGUUUGCCUGGCGCACACGGUCUCUGACCGAGACAUGUUCCUCGCCCCACUUUUAUAUCUUAACAAAAAAUACACUAAUAGUAAGUGCAUCGGGUUCUUCACCACUCACGGACACUAUCAUAAGCGACUGCCACUGCUACAAUUGUAGAGGUAAAGGUUGCUAGGGCACAGAGGACAGUCCUUGGGAGGCCAGCAUUAUGGCCAUGGCCAGAGUUCUGGUGCUGCACUCACUAGAAUACAAACAGGUUUAUCUUCAUCAGUUCUUUGUGUUUAACGGCCUCUUCUUCCAGUCUAACUGAAAUAACAUAUCUAAUAUAUGCAACCAUGUCAGUGUAAUGACCCCAGAUUGUCCUUAUGCAUAUCCCUUGAGCAAAUUGGAUAAUUCACCAGUUUCUCCCCUGAUAAAAACUGAGCUUCAAGAAUAAAGGUGUGCCUUUGAUAAUUUUUUUCAAAUUACCAAUUUUCACACCAAGACUGUUGCUCCAGAACUGUGAGUCGGUGUCACCAUCUUGGGGUGGACUGACAGGUAUGUGACAGAAGGUGGGCGUUUGCUCCAAGCACUCCCUUGACUCUGCCGAUGAUGCCGUUGCUCUAAGCGCCUGAAUCUCGAGCUUGAAGAACACUACUACUGGUGAACCCCAUGACAAACACCCACUUUUAUAUGGUGAGAGAGACCCUCAGAAACAACCAAAUUCGCAUUUACAGCCAUACAAACAGUGUGGGUGAGAAAGCCUUGAGCUACCACGGACACUAUUCAUGACAGAAGGUCCUGGAGCAUGCAUCACACACAUCUAAUCCACACUCAAGUUUUUCAAGAAAGAUAAGUUGAAUUUUUAACAGCCUGAUCUUUUCCCUCUAUUUUCUACAAAUAUUUAUUGAGUUUCUACCACUGCCGAUACCAGGCUGGAUUCCAGGACAGAACUAUAAACAAAAAGGUUUCAUGGAGCAACAAUCUGAGACUGAUUAAAUGAUCAUUAAAUGAAAAUAAAAAUUGGCAUGUA
Molecule: long non-coding RNA, 2306 nt
Organism: Mus musculus (house mouse)
Lineage: Eukaryota; Metazoa; Chordata; Mammalia; Rodentia; Muridae
Product: predicted gene, 19466
Exons: 3
Source: RefSeq, marked predicted